GUCUAUGGCUAUGCCACCUUGAACAAGCUCAAUAUCUAAUCUCGGAAGCCAAGCAGGGUCGAGCCUGGUUAGUACUUGGAUGGGAGACCACCUAGGAAGACCAGGUGCUGUAAACA
RNAcentral lists this ribosomal RNA (116 nucleotides) under Pteropus alecto (black flying fox). Lineage: Eukaryota; Metazoa; Chordata; Mammalia; Chiroptera; Pteropodidae. The record is from RNAcentral.